CGUGCCUACAUAGAAGGAUGAAAUUAUCAGCAAUAAUAAACAUUGAUAAUAAAAUUACAGGAAUGGGUAUGAACAAAGGGUUGGUUGGAACCUUUCCUGAUACCUGAUUCUGGGUUAAUUUUAAGUAUAAAUUGGAUUGGUUUUGGUUUUGGAUAGUUAAAUAAUAUAUUGGUAUAAAUAGCCUCCAGCUCCGUUUCGAUAAUAAGUAUCCCAGACCGGCAAUCUCUUGGUCAGUUCCUCCUUUGGGUGGCUGAAUUGGAACAUGGAUGGCUCUUCACUAGGGAAGCCAGGACGCUAAGGAUCCAGAUGUGUUCUUCGCAAUUCAGCUGGGAACUUUAUCUGCCUCUUUGUUGCCCCAUCUGAUGUGAUUGGAUGGAUUAACAAGAGCAUUGGCUUUCCUUGAAAAUAGAAGCAAAUUUUCGCAGACAUCCAUCUUUUCGCUUUGCACUUCAGCUCCAUCAGACAAACACAACUCCUUCCAUCCUCUGUCUCCUCCAUCCGAAACCAUCGCCUUCAUCUUCAUCAUCGCCAUGCAGCAGUAAGCAGCAACAUGGCAAGAAGGAGAGGGAGAAGGCAACAACAACUCAGCAGUGGAGGAUAGGAAAGAAUAGCAACGGCAUCUCAGGAGCUCGGGGGAAGGAGCGGCCAUGCAACAAUAGCUCGGGAGCUCGGAAAGGAGCAGCAAUGACUCAGCGAGGAGCUCAGAGGAGCAGCGCGGCAGCGACAAAGUGUUGAGUUAUGAAACUUGAAGUACUGUGAUUCCAAAUCGAGAGCUCAUGUUUUGUUCUGUUUUUCAAUUCGGCCCAUUGGUGAUGUAAUUAGGGUGAUUCCCUUUAUAAGUAGCAGCUAAUAUCUCUUGUAACUCUAACUCAAAGAAAAAAGUAGUAGAAUACCUGGCUUGGCGGCGCCUCUAGAUGUAGUCAGAAUUUCUUCUCUGACGAACUGGGUAAUUAAUUUCGUGUCUUUUUUGCUUUUCGUUCAGAAUUUCUUCUACUAUCGUCUAUUUUUCCCAACGCAAAGAAGUAGGAGUUGAGAGAAAGAUAGUGGUAAAGGGAUAGAGGCGGCUGAGGAGGUCAUGGAGUGGCUAAAGGACAAGGAAAAGCUGAGGAUGAUGAUUGAAAAUGAAGGAGGCAACAGGAGAUUGGUGAUGAAGACACAGGGCAGAGGAGGAUAAAUGGUUUAAAGGGCGCCCAUGGAAGUGGAAGGGGGAGAUGAGAAGAUGCUGGUGGUUUGUAUCCGUGUAAGGGAAGUUGAAAGAGUGGGGGAGAGAAAA
Molecule: non-coding RNA, 1273 nt
Organism: Punica granatum (pomegranate)
Lineage: Eukaryota; Viridiplantae; Streptophyta; Magnoliopsida; Myrtales; Lythraceae
Source: RefSeq, a predicted model, not a curated record